Heligmosomoides polygyrus is the source of this 71-nucleotide non-coding RNA. The record is from Rfam. NCBI's taxonomy places the organism in Eukaryota, Metazoa, Nematoda, Chromadorea, Rhabditida, Heligmosomidae.
GCGCUGGUGGUGUAAGGCGAACAUCGCUGCCCGGAAAGCAGAAGAUGCGGGUUCGAGUCCCGCCUGGCGCA